RNAcentral lists this ribosomal RNA (454 nucleotides) under uncultured bacterium. RNAcentral describes it as "partial 16S ribosomal RNA". It matches the Rfam family "Bacterial small subunit ribosomal RNA", at positions 328 to 793 of the family's 1533-position model. The record is from RNAcentral.
CGGCCAGACUCCUACGGGAGGCAGCAGUGGGGGAUAUUGCACAAUGGGGGAAACCCUGAUGGUGCGACGCCGCGUGGGGGAAUGAAGGUCUUCGGCUUGUAAACCCCUGUCAUGUGGGAGCAAAUUAAAAAGAUAGUACCACAAGAGGAAGAGACGGCUAACUCUGUGCCAGCAGCCGCGGUAAUACAGAGGUCUCAAGCGUUGUUCGGAAUCACUGGGCGUAAAGCGUGCGUAGGCUGUUUCGUAAGUCGUGUGUGAAAGGCGCGGGCUCAACCCGCGGACGGCACAUGAUACUGCGAGACUAGAGUAAUGGAGGGGGAACCGGAAUUCUCGGUGCAGCAGUGAAAUGCGUAGAUAUCGAGAGGAACACUCGUGGCGAAGGCGGGUUCCUGGACAUUAACUGACGUUGAGGCUCGAAAGCGUGGGGAGCAAACAGGAUUAGAUACCCCUGUAC